GCGGGUGUAGCUCAAUGGUAGAGCUCCAGCUUCCCAAGCUGGUGGUGAGGGUUCGAUUCCCUUCACCCGCU
RNAcentral lists this transfer RNA (71 nucleotides) under Planctomycetaceae bacterium. Its description in RNAcentral is "tRNA-Gly". It matches the Rfam family "tRNA". From Rfam's summary of the family: Transfer RNA (tRNA) molecules are approximately 80 nucleotides in length. The record is from RNAcentral. Lineage: Bacteria; Pseudomonadati; Planctomycetota; Planctomycetia; Planctomycetales; Planctomycetaceae.